This 377-nucleotide ribosomal RNA is filed under the name uncultured bacterium. RNAcentral describes it as "bacterial SSU rRNA". It matches the Rfam family "Bacterial small subunit ribosomal RNA", at positions 521 to 896 of the family's 1533-position model. The record is from RNAcentral.
UAAGACAGAGGAUGCAAACGUUGCUCGGAAUUACUGGGCGUAAAGCGCUUGUAGGUGGUUCGGUAAGUCAGGUGUGAAAUCCCGGGGCUCAACCCCGGAAGUGCAUUUGAUACUACCAGACUUGAGUACUGAAGAGGAGAGUGGAAUUCCCGGUGUAGAGGUGAAAUUCGUAGAUAUCGGGAGGAACACCAGUGGCGAAGGCGACUCUCUGGGCAGAUACUGACACUGAGAAGCGAAAGCGUGGGGAGCAAACAGGAUUAGAUACCCUGGUAGUCCACGCUGUAAACGAUGACGACUGGGUGUUUCGGGUAUUGACUCCCGAGGUGCCGAAGCCAACGCGUUAAGUCGUCCGCCUGGGAAGUACGGCCGCAAGGCUA